Oryctolagus cuniculus (rabbit) is the source of this 950-nucleotide long non-coding RNA. RefSeq lists it as uncharacterized. Lineage: Eukaryota; Metazoa; Chordata; Mammalia; Lagomorpha; Leporidae. The record is from RefSeq and is a predicted model, not a curated record.
UUUCACUUCUGCCCUCUCUCACCCACAGUGCCCAAAUCCUAACCGAAACGGAGCAUGUUAGGCAGGAGGACCUCUUUUUCUUGGUGAGGAAUCCCAAAGACCUAUUUUCUUUAAGGUCUGAAUGAAUGCCUUCCCCUCUGUCUUCCUCAGCUCCCAAAUGGGACAAUUGCUUUUACAAAGGAACGUGCUUAACUUGCAAUCACACCAUGAUCCAUGGUUUAUAGACCAAUAAUGAUGAUCGAUCCGACGAUGCAGGACUUGGUAAGGCAUAGUAGAGAUGGUGGAAUUUUUUCCUAGGUGUGAUGUGGAGUCCUGGGGGAUAUUAGCUGGGUUGUAACAAGAGAUGAAAUAUAGUUUAAAAAUACCCCUUUGGCUGGGAUAUGAUUUAUUCUUGCUGGUUCCUAAAAGGUGAAAGUGGACAAAGGGAGGAAAGUCAGCCCAGGGGUGCGUGGCCCACAGCGUGGCUGCGGGGGAUGGUGACUGCAUGCAAGGAAGGCAGGCUGUGCCAGAGCAGACUGUACCCGUGGGCAGCUGGGACACGUGCAAAGGACACACAUAUCCCAGCUGAUCAGAAGAGCGAAGAAUCCGAGCUCGUCCUCAUUUCUUUGUCACCUCACCAGAACUGAGACUGCUCUGUGGGCUAACUGAAGUCAUGAAGAUUCUUUGGCUGACUUUGACCAUGCUGCUGCUCUUGUCCCAGGGCACUCCAGGCAGCACUGAAAAAUGUUGGAAUCUUCAUGGCAACUGCCGUGACAAAUGCACCAAGACCGAGAAGUUCUAUGUUUUCUGUGUGAGUGGAAAACUGUGCUGUGUGAAGGCCAAGGAGAAGCCAAAUUUACCGUGGCACUGAGUGUGUGCUUUGAAGUCCAAGGCCACAAAACAGAAGAUAAAUCUGUCUUGAGUCUGACCUCCGUAGAUUUCUGAGCUUUAGUAAAACCUGUUUGGCUGAA